CAUUUGCUUUUUCUUUGUUUUUUUUUUUUUUUGCUGUUUGUUUUCUCUUCCUUUUCUUG
RNAcentral lists this non-coding RNA (59 nucleotides) under Compsopogon caeruleus. The record is from RNAcentral. Lineage: Eukaryota; Rhodophyta; Compsopogonophyceae; Compsopogonales; Compsopogonaceae.